CCCUUAGAUGUUCUGGGCCGCACGCGCGCUACAAUGAUGCAUUCAACGAGCCUAUCCUUGACCGACAGGUCCGGGUAAUCUUUGAAUCUGCAUCGUGACGGGGAUAGAUUAUUGCAAUUAUUAAUCUUCAACGAGGAAUGCCUAGUAGGCGCAAGUCAUCAGCUUGCGUCGAUUACGUCCCUGCCCUUUGUACACACCGCCCGUCGCUCCUACCGAUUGGGUGUGCUGGUGAAAUGUUCGGAUCGGCCGUUUGUCGCGGUUUCCGCGUCAUGUGGCUGAGAAGUUCAUUAAACCCUCCCACCUAGAGGAAGGAGAAGUCGUAACA
Molecule: ribosomal RNA, 325 nt
Filed under: uncultured eukaryote
Lineage: Eukaryota
Description: partial 18S ribosomal RNA
Rfam family: Eukaryotic small subunit ribosomal RNA
Source: RNAcentral